UACGUAGGGGGCAAGCGUUGUCCGGAAUUAUUGGGCGUAAAGCGCGCGCAGGCGGUCUCUUAAGUCUGAUGUGAAAGCCCACGGCUCAACCGUGGAGGGUCAUUGGAAACUGGGGGACUUGAGUGUAGGAGAGGAAAGUGGAAUUCCACGUGUAGCGGUGAAAUGCGUAGAUAUGUGGAGGAACACCAGUGACGAAGGCGACUUUCUGGCCUACAACUGACGCUGAGGUGCGAAAGCGUGGGGAGCAAACAGG
Molecule: ribosomal RNA, 253 nt
Filed under: uncultured bacterium
Lineage: Bacteria
Description: partial 16S ribosomal RNA
Rfam family: Bacterial small subunit ribosomal RNA
Source: RNAcentral